RNAcentral lists this unclassified non-coding RNA (231 nucleotides) under Glomeraceae sp. Its description in RNAcentral is "partial contains 5.8S ribosomal RNA and internal transcribed spacer 2". The stretch from base 1 to 71 matches the Rfam family "5.8S ribosomal RNA", at positions 84 to 154 of the family's 154-position model. Lineage: Eukaryota; Fungi; Glomeromycota; Glomeromycetes; Glomerales; Glomeraceae. The record is from RNAcentral.
GUGAAUCAUCGAAUUUUUGAACGCAAAUUGCACUCUCUGGUAUUCCGGAGAGUAUGCCUGGUUGAGGGUCAGUUUAAAUAAGAAUCGGUGUGGUUGCUGCCUUUCGUGGUGACGCACCGGAUUGGGUUCGGCUUUCCUUCGGUUAAGUGUCCUAAUAUUUUGCAUGCUUUUUUUCGAACGUAUUUAAAUGAUUUUACGUACUUUUGCGAUAUCUAUUACUUGGUUUGGUCA